AUCAGAACCCAAUGUAGACAUCUGUAACAUGAAAUGUUACAUCAGCAGAAACUCAAAACUGAAGGAGUAUUGAUGACCAAUUAACAUUAUGAAUGUCAAAAUAAAUUAAAAGAUAAACACAAACAAAUCUAUGAAAAGUCCAUGAACAUUAAGAGUAGUCAUCUAUGAACUUCAUCAAUAAUCAAAUUAUAGACACAAAAGUUUCCCUUCAAAAGAACAGAGAGACAUCUCUACAUCAUUAGCACAAAACCUAAACUAAAUAUUUAAGGUCAGAAUAAAAUAGAACUUCUACUGCUUCUAUGACAUCAUAAUAUGACAACUAAACACAGAGCAUUCGAUUCAUUCCACGUUUUUUUAUCAAAAAAAGCAAACAUUCCAGCAAAAGAUAGUUGGCAUUAUAAUAUGGAAGAUUAAUUUGACCAUAAACAUGUAAAUGUGCUAAAAAGAAGAUUAAUACCUUGUUUAAAGGUCUGCU
RNAcentral lists this unclassified non-coding RNA (475 nucleotides) under Hevea brasiliensis (rubber tree). Lineage: Eukaryota; Viridiplantae; Streptophyta; Magnoliopsida; Malpighiales; Euphorbiaceae. The record is from RNAcentral.